RNAcentral lists this ribosomal RNA (496 nucleotides) under uncultured bacterium. Its description in RNAcentral is "partial 16S ribosomal RNA". The stretch from base 20 to 338 matches the Rfam family "Bacterial small subunit ribosomal RNA", at positions 47 to 358 of the family's 1533-position model. The record is from RNAcentral.
GAUGAACGCUGGCGGCGUGCCUAAUACAUGCAAGUCGAGCGAACGGACGAGAAGCUUGCUUCUCUGAUGUUAGCGGCGGACGGGUGAGUAACACGUGGAUAACCUACCUAUAAGACUGGGAUAACUUCGGGAAACCGGAGCUAAUACCGGAUAAUAUUUUGAACCGCAUGGUUCAAAAGUGAAAGACGGUCUUGCUGUCACUUAUAGAUGGAUCCGCGCUGCAUUAGCUAGUUGGUAAGGUAACGGCUUACCAAGGCAACGAUGCAUAGCCGACCUGAGAGGGAGAGGGGAAACAGGGAAGAGGAGACAGGGACAAGAAGACGAGGGGAGGCAGAAGGAGGGAAGAUUCGGAAAGGGGAGAAAGCAGGAGGGAGAAACGCGGGGGGAGGGAGGAAGGGUUGGGGAAAGUAAAACGUUGUUAGGAGGAAAAAAAAGAUGUGAAAGAAAAGGGGCAAAUGUGAAGGGAACAAAAAAAGAAAGCAACGAAAAAAUACGU